This 540-nucleotide ribosomal RNA is filed under the name Triticum aestivum (bread wheat). RNAcentral's name for it is "partial small subunit ribosomal RNA". The record is from RNAcentral. Lineage: Eukaryota; Viridiplantae; Streptophyta; Magnoliopsida; Poales; Poaceae.
AUGUGCAGGGGACUUAGGAUCCAGAUGAGAAGCAAAAGUUGUUUUCCAGCUAUGACUCUUCCUGACUCAGUCCGCAGGUGGCAGUCGACCUGGUUCUACUGCAAAGACCAGCCGACUCCUGGACAGGCGACGGGUCUUCCCCCUUUCUUCCUGAACCGAGCAGAAAAACCUUCUACUCUGAAAGUGACACCGGAAGAGAAGGCACAAGUCAAAGUGUUGGUUGGUCGAGUGGUUCAGCUUGUCCGCGAUGGGGUGACUGGUAUGGAUUUGUUAGAGAUCUUCCUUAGGAGACGUAUCCAGCCGCUCCAAGCUCGUGACCAUCCGAUGUGGAUGUAUUCGGGUCUCGAUGACACCACUCGGAUUCACCCGGAGGAGGUCGACGAGGCUACGUUGGAGGGGUGGUUGUCAAGUAUCACAGGGGACAAAGACAACCCCCGAGGAGCCAGGAGGAUUCCUCCACUCGACCAAUCGUAUGAAGUAGAUAAGGUCCGAUUAUGCAUCUCUGACUGUGGCCUUGCUUUCUUCAUUCUGUUUGCUUGA